UGUCCAUUUAAGCUUACCUUUGUAAAGAAAAAAUUGUGGGCUAUUGUAUAAGCUGAGCAGACUAGCGGUAGAUGAUUUAAACAGAUAGAGUGGUCAGUGGUCAAAAUCAAAGACAACUAAUUUAUGCUAAAAACUCAAAAUUAAAAACCACAUGAAAAAGCAUAUAAUGGGCAUCAGUCAUAAAGGAUGGUAAGUCAGUAUAUAUACAUGACAAGAAAAAUACUCCCGGUCAAGGAUAAGGUCCCAGCAGUCCAGGUAGAGCAUAUAUGUGUGAGAGGCUUCAUUCCAGGGGCACCAGGCUACAACAUGAAGCUUCACUCGAUGCCAACUGA
Non-coding RNA from Pelobates cultripes (western spadefoot toad), 332 nucleotides. NCBI's taxonomy places the organism in Eukaryota, Metazoa, Chordata, Amphibia, Anura, Pelobatidae. The record is from the annotation of a GenBank genome assembly.